RNAcentral lists this ribosomal RNA (110 nucleotides) under Flavobacterium sp. HTF. RNAcentral's name for it is "partial 23S ribosomal RNA". It matches the Rfam family "Bacterial large subunit ribosomal RNA", at positions 2056 to 2167 of the family's 2925-position model. Lineage: Bacteria; Pseudomonadati; Bacteroidota; Flavobacteriia; Flavobacteriales; Flavobacteriaceae. The record is from RNAcentral.
AAUAUGCUUCUCCCGCAGUGGGACGAAAAGACCCUGUGCACCUUUACUAUAGCUUAGUAUUGACCUUGGAUAAAUGAUGUGUAGGAUAGGUUGGAGACUGUGAAGUGGCG